This 253-nucleotide ribosomal RNA is filed under the name uncultured bacterium. Its description in RNAcentral is "partial 16S ribosomal RNA". It matches the Rfam family "Bacterial small subunit ribosomal RNA", at positions 524 to 776 of the family's 1533-position model. The record is from RNAcentral.
CACGUAGGGGGCAAGCGUUGUCCGGAUUCAUUGGGCGUAAAGCGCGUGUAGGCGGCUUUGCAAGUCGGGUGUGAAAGCCCUCAGCUCAACUGAGGAAGUGCGCCCGAAACUGCAGAGCUUGAGUGCCGGAGAGGGUGGCGGAAUUCCCCAAGUAGAGGUGAAAUUCGUAGAUAUGGGGAGGAACACCGGUGGCGAAGGCGGCCACCUGGACGGUAACUGACGCUGAGACGCGAAAGCGUGGGGAGCGAACAGG